CCCUUAGAUGUUCUGGGCCGCACGCGUGCUACACUGAGUGGAUCAGCGGGUCAGGUUGCGCGAAAGCGUUUCCUAAUCUUUAAAUCCGCUCGUGAUGGGGAUUGACGGUUGCAAUUUUCUGUCAUGAACGAGGAAUACCUUGUAAGCGCGGGUCAUCAUCCCGCGCUGAAUACGUCCCUGCCCUUUGUACACACCGCCCGUCGCUCCUACCGAUUGAAUGGUUUAGUGAGGCCUUCGGAUCCGCGACUCGUUUUGUGGAGAAGUUGGACAAACUCAGUCAUUUAGAGGAAGUAAAAGUCGUAACA
This 305-nucleotide ribosomal RNA is filed under the name uncultured eukaryote. RNAcentral's name for it is "partial 18S ribosomal RNA". It matches the Rfam family "Eukaryotic small subunit ribosomal RNA", at positions 1470 to 1796 of the family's 1831-position model. The record is from RNAcentral.